AGCAACAAGAGGAACACCUGGCACAGCCACCACUGUCUCUGCUGGUGAAAACACAUCUGGAAGGACAGGUUCGCAUGCAACAUCAUCUGGAGCUACCCCUGAAGCUAGAGGAGACAGCACCCCUGGGGAAGCAGGCACUGGAGCCACAGGUUCAGGAACACGAAGCCCUAGUGCAACAACACCUGGGAGGAAAGAGAGUAGCACAUCUGGGGAACCCAGCACUGGAGCUACAAGCACAGGAAGUUCAGGUACAACAGGAGAGUCCCUGGGUGUGACCUCAGGAGGAGUCAGCGGUACAACAAGUCAACCAUCA
Marmota flaviventris (yellow-bellied marmot) is the source of this 313-nucleotide non-coding RNA. The record is from RefSeq and is a predicted model, not a curated record. NCBI's taxonomy places the organism in Eukaryota, Metazoa, Chordata, Mammalia, Rodentia, Sciuridae.